UUGGUAGAAAUGAAGUCAAAAGGAGAUUGAGAACCUUCCAGAUCUUCUGAAGAGACCAUUUCUUUCUGAAGAGUACAAGUAGGAGAGGAUACAAAAGCAACAAUAGCACCAUUUGAAUGAUAUGGGUAAACUUUAACCAAAAUUGGAUUAUUCAAAUAAGGAUGAUUCCUAAGGUCAGAGAUUGUAAACCAAGAAUGAAGAAGUAGAUCUGAGCUCACCAACAAAUUUGCAAAUUCUUGGCCACUACUAAACCUGUAGAACAAAAAAAUGAAAAAUUGGGUCAUGUAAAACAAUACAAUCUUGAACAAUAAAGCAAAAAGAUUUGAACUUUUUGUAGUAUAUGCCAUAAAAGAAUAAAAAUUGCCACUCACAUGGAAACUUGGCUCAUCUUGGCCUUUGGAGAAUUUGACAUAUUCCUGAAGGCCUAGCUAACAUCUAAUAUAAAUAAGCAUAGCAGUAGAAGAUAUUGCACAAGAAGUUAAAAUACAAGUUUGACAAAUGAGGCAAAAAAAGGGUUGGCAAAUGAGAAAGGAAUGAGGAAAGUAGAUGUAAAGGACAAGAAGAAAAUGCCCAGAAAUUGAAGGAGAAGAAGGGAAUGGUGGUUUACUUUUUGAUUUUUCUUGACUCUCAAGUCUACUAGUAUAACUAAUACUCCCUUAGUUUCAAUUUACGUGACACAGUUUGACAUGAAACAAGAUUAAAGAAAUUUUAGUCAUAUGGAACUAAGGAUACACAUGAGUACUCGUAAGUAGGAAUAGUUUAGUUUAUUAACUAUCUAAAUUUUCGAUUUGUUGGACAGGAUUUUAUUUCCACUUUGUAUUUCUCUCGCCCCCACACCCCCUGUUUCCUCCUCCCUCCCAAUAAAAAAGAAAAGAAAAGAGAGAGUAGUCGUAAUCGGUUAAACUUCUGAGAGGUUUCUAACUCAGCUUUAGUUUAAUCAUCUUCCAUUCUUGAAGACUUUUUUUCUUCUGCAAGUUGAACAAGUCGAGUCUAUACUAUUAAAUUAAUGCCUAGUGUACUAUACAGACAUGAAUUUGAAAAUUUUGGGAGGGGUUGGUGGGACUAAGAGGAUGAUUCCAUGAUAUUUAAUUUUAAAUAUGCAGGCACUAGCUUUAUUAUAGGCAUAAUACAAAUUGGACCCUAAACUUGGCUUCAAAUUUUAAGUAUGACCUCUAACUUUCAUAGUGCAUAAGUAGGCACUUUAACUAUCCAAUUCUUAAACAAAAAAUACGCGAAUCCAACAGCCAAAUUGUGUGAUAUACAAACGCUCCAACGUGGCUUAUUGAGCCACUCAGUGGCUGCCACGUAAUUAAAAAAUUACACGUAUUUUAUAAUUAAAAAAAGAAAUUAAAAUACAAAAGGGUAGGGUCGUAUUUUGUUUUCCCAACCCACCCCCUACCAGCCCCUCCACCCCCCAAAAAAAAUUGAAAUUUAUUUUUAAAAAAUAUUUUCAACUUCAAAAUUUCUUUUUUUUCACCCCUACCUCGACCCGCCCCACCCAGCAAACAUCUAAUACAAUAAGCAUAGCAGUAGAAGAUACUGCACAAGAAGUUAAAAUACAAGUUUGACAAAUGAGGCAACAAAAAAGGUCGGCAAAUGAGAAAGGAAUGAGGAAAGUAGAUGUAAAGGACAAGAAGAAAAUGCCCAGAAAUUGAAGGAGAAGAAGGGAAUGGUGGUUUACUUUUUGAUUUUUCUUGACUCUCAAGUCUACUAGUAUAACUAAUACUCCCUUAGUUUCAGUUUACGUGACACCGUUUGACAUAACACAAAAUUAAAGAAAUUUUAUAGUCAAUAUGGGACAAAGAGUACACAUGAGUACUCGUAAGUAGGAAUAGUUUAGCUGAUUGACUACCUCAAUUUUCGAUUUGUUGGUGAGAAUUUUAUUUCCACUUUAUAAUCCUCUCGCCCCACACCCCUGUUUCCUCUUCCCUCCCAAUAAAAAUGAAAAUAAAAAAGAGUGAGCAGUCGUAAUCAGUUAAACUUCUGAGAGGUUUCUAGCAUCAGUUUAAUAUUUUCCAUUUUUGAAGACUUUUUUUCUUCUGCAAGUUGAACAAGUCCUACACUAUUAAAUUAAUGCCUAGUGUACUAUAUAGACAUGAAUUUGAAAAUUUGAGGAGGGGUUGGUGGGAGUAAGAGGAUGAUUCCAUGAUAUUUAAUUUUAAAUAUGCAGGCACUAGCUUUAAGCCAUUAUUAUAAGAAGAUAUAGUGAAGAGUAAUAUUUCUUUAUAUACUUAUUAUACUUCUUGAUAUCCUAAUAUUAAAACACACUUAUGGUGUUUCUUGACUAUAAGGUAGAAUCAAUUGAAAUAUUCAAUUUUUGAAAGGAGAAAGGAGUAAACUAGUGGUAGUUUAAUUAUAAAAUGUAGUACUAUCACAACUACAAUGAUUGUAACAUAAAGCAAAAGUAGAAUAUUCUACACGUCACGACAAUUUUCCAAAGGACAUAAACCAAUUAAUUAGUUUGAAGAAGUUGCAUCCCAACUUCCUCUGUAUCUUACAUUAUAACAUGAAUAGUCUUAACUCAUAUCAUGGAAGAAAACUUUGUGCAUGGUUCUAUUAUGGUUAAUGAGUGGCUCUGAUAUUUACACCAAGCCAAAUUAGUAUUAAUAGAUUAAGCCAAAAAAAAAAAUUCAUCAUCUUCAUCUGGGUUAUGUUUCUCUUUUGAGAUUUCUUCCCAAUUGAAUUCAUUGUAAAGAGGGGAAAUUCGAGUAGGACUAGCAGGUGCACUGUAAAACAACGUGGCAGCACGUGGAGGACUUGACGGACCACUCAUGUACGGAGUAGUAUAACCACUGUCGAUGUUGAAAUCCACAUGAAGAAAACUGCCAUAAGAAUACUUGAAAUCAGUUCAAUACGAAGAAAUACGAAAUCAGUUCAUACUAAGAAAUACGAAAUCAGUUCAAUAAUAGGAAGAAAUCAGUUCAUAUACUUACAUCUGGACGAGGGCAUCUGAAAAAUCUUCUUCCGGGAUUAGAUGUAGUACUCGAAAUCAGUGUUUUGACCACUAAACCACAAGCACAUUUUCUUUGAGACGAAUAACUAUUUUGUGACAUUUUCUGAAAAGAAAAAUCAGAGGUGAACGAAAGAGAUGGUGGAAAGAACAAUCAGAAGGAAGAGAAAUGAAGAACAAUGGAGGAGAAGUUAAAGAGUUAUAUGGAAAAUUUGAGAGAAUGGGUAAAAGGGGAAUGGGCUAUCCUCUAGAGGGGUCGGGGGCAAGUCGGGGCAUUGGGUUAAAAAUAGGGAAUAAGGUUUUAGAAAAAAAAUUCCGGUAAUUUGGAUCAAUUUUGGGGAUUCCAUCAAAUGAGAGGUAAUUUUGGUGAAAUUAGUAAUGGGAAGGAUAAAUUUAACUUCAUUUUAACGGCAAGGAUAAAGUCAAACUAUAAACGAAAGUUGAGAGGUAUUUUUGACCCUUUUCCCUUAAAAAAAUAGUAGAAGAUCGUUACUGCCCCUUUUUUAAAAUUAUACUUCUUAUCAAUUCCAAUUUUUCUUUUAACAAUUUAUUUCUAGUUUUACAAUUACUAGAAGCGAAAAGCUUCUUCUUCUUUUUUGGCUACGUUUUUUACGUUAUUUUUAGAAAGAUUAUAAUUAAAUAAUUGGAGCGGAUCAAUAAAAUAAUUAAAAUAGAUAUCUUAUUAUUUCUUUAAAAAUAGUUUAAGAUAAAAUUUAUUGAAAAAAUUAUUUAAAUUGAUUGAGUGACUUUCUAAGUGAAAUAUAAAUAGUUGGGUGACUUUUUAAAUAAAAACAUCAAUAGUUGGAUGACUUUUGAGUUAUAAAACAAAGUUGAGUGACUUUCUAAGUAAACAACUUAAAGUUGAGUGAUUUUUUAAGUAAACAACUCAAAAUUGAGUGAGCAUCUGAGAUAUUAACUCAUUUCUCAUGUGUACUUGAAUCGCAAAAAGAUUUAUAGAAAUGAGCAGACUUUUAGGCACUACUAGGAUUUGGAAAUGAAAUGCUUUUUCUCUGAUAACGAGUUACUUGUUCAAUGGGGAUAGAGAAUGGUGCGUUGGAUUUUAAGCUUUUAAGUUUAUUUACUGAUAUUCUAACUCCGCCUCUGAUUAACGGUUGACCCCUCUAGAUGAAGAGGAUGAUUGUAGGUGAGGUGGACUAGUUUGGCGUUAAAUUUCAGUUCUAUAGUCUCUUGAUUAAAUAUAUCACGUGUAUAUAUUGUGUAUAUCACUGAGCAUACCCAUAUUUUCAUGGAUAUUUGUGUAUGAUAUACAUGAUAUAUAGGAGAUACAAGGGGGAUAUACAUAGAUGGAGUCGUUUUCAACCUCAAGUUUUUAAUUUGAAAAUCAGCUCAAAUUCACCUCAAAUAGUCUCCAAACAAUUUGAAAAUUGAUAUUCAAGCUCUUAAAAUAUUAAGUAAAAUCCAUAAAAUUUUCUUCUUUUUUUGGGUACUAAAGAUGAAACUUCAUUAACUAAACAGGAAUGUUACAGGGAGUGUGCACAGACCUAUUUGGUAAAUGGUAAUACAAUACAUUUUCACAUACCGAUCUUAUUAAGUUAUGCAACUGGAGUAGAGUCGCUUAUAGAAUGCCGACGACUAUUUUCCACUUAGUAAGUAAAGGGGAGAGGGAAGCCAGGCUUAGCGAGUUUUAUAAGGCCGACCACUACAUGAGCCGCUGGUGGAGACUGGAGUAGUUAACACUAACUACCAUUCUAAGCAUAACUUUGAUAAUCUCCAUUUUCCAUGUAAAAGGCCAAAGGCAAAUUACUCAAACAGCUUAGAAUAUCUUGCCUAUAAUCUUUCCACCAAUUCAUGAAGCUACUCUGAGGCUGGAAAAUCUCAGAGGAUACUGAAUAGCUCCAUAUCAUAUUCAUUACAUAUCCCCCAAAUUUAACCAAAUACGCCGUUGCAUUUUCCUUCUCUUCUAGACUGCCUUCUCUCAGUCUUUUGGAAUUUAUAAUAGCUUCCUCCACAUAUGCCCAAAAGCAAGAAUCUUCGGUGAGGUUAACGGACUUCCUUCUAUAGUUACCACUUCCAGACGGGUUGUCUUCUUUCCUCCAUUCCUCCAACUUUUUAUAGUGCUCGGAUCUUCCAAGAUUUACAUAGUCUGUGUCCCUGAUUUCAUAUAGUAUUCAGCUAUGUCGAGUGGCUCGACCAUCCUUCUAUAGUUUUGUCCCUGAAUACAGCCAACGAGUACGAAAAGCUGCCUUUUUGCUUUGUGGCAUUUCCUCUACUUCUGCAACCUUUGUUUUCCAGUACCUAUUGAGGAUUCUUUGGUGCUUGACAAUUUCUUGUCUGCUUUUGACAGCAUCCCUGCCUCGAUACUCACUGCGUUUAAAACUAUCAUAGUAGCCUCCUUCUUUCAGGGUUACUUUCUUGUACCACUCUAGCCAUGCCAUAGCUUCUUUCAUUUUGUUUAGCUUCUUGCCAGGAUCAAUGGCAUUCCUCUUCUUUGCGAAAGAUUCCUCCACUCUUUUCUUCACUUUAGUCCUUAGAGGGUUCAUGUUACUUGUCUGAUGCCACGACAAUUAUAUGCAUUAUAGAAGUUAGAAAUACAGGUUUAGAAACAAGUUCUAUAAGUUUUACGAAUGUUAUCUCUAUUGAUUUCCUAUUCAUUCAAACUUUAGCUCAAGAAUGGGAAACUAUACUUGCUUUCAUUUUAGGAGUAAGAGUUUGUUUUACCUGUCCACCAAUUCCGAUUGCUUCUAGCUGUAGAUCAAUGCCUGCUUGAAGUUGAUCCACGCUAUAGUGAAACAGCUGAGAAGUACCCUUAAAGAUUACUCUAUGCUUGAGGAGUUCCAAAACCUGUUCAUAGUCGAAAGCCAAGAAACGAUUGUCCUGGUGUUGGCUAUUUAAGUUCAUUUCCAUCAUAAUAUCCAAAACUGAUUCAGGCUCCUCAAAACAGGAGCAGUCUGAAUCUGAGCACAGCAGAAACAUGCCGAAUGGAUUGUAAAUACAAGAUUGAGGAAUAGAACCAGCAAGGGCAUUAGUUGGUGAAAUUAAAAAUCUUGGGAUUGGAUCAUGGUUCGAGACUACGUGCAAGAAGCUUGAAUUCCAUGAUGGACGUUCUGAUAUGGCUUGUGCAGGCCACUAUCACCAAGAAGAGGUGAACCAAAAGUGAUGCAAGUGGGACGCUUAUUAUUGUCCUUAAGUAGCCAGAGAGUGAAUAGAGAUGCCACAGAACCUCCCAAAGACACUCCAGUGAUUAUUAGAGGACUGAAACUGCCCAACUGCAGUCAAUCAGAAUGAACAAAACAUCAACAUGAAUAUAUGAACAACAAGGCUCCUGCAGACGAAACUAACACCAUAAAAUCUAUAAAAGAUUCUAGCUUUAUAGAUUUAAUGAAUGCAGUCAAUCAUUAAUUUUUUUGGCAACUCUUUGAUUCUAGCUCUCUACCUACUAUGUCUAAGACUACAACAUGAAAUAGCAUUUCAGUACAUUCUACAGAACUUUAGUUUAAGACCAUAAAAUUUAAAAGUUACUUUGCAUUUUUAAGUUUUGUACCAAAUCAAAAGCAGACAAAUAAAUUAAAACAGAAGAAGUAAUAUCUAGCACAAGUAAGGAAAGCUCAAGAGAAAUCACAAAUUUUGCAGAGAAAUAAAAGAAUAUUAUAGUACCUCUUCUUUGAGGUCAGAGAGCUCAUUCAGUAAUGAAGCAAAAAGGGUUAUUGCUGCUUUGUUAACUGAGAAAUGAGGGUUGAAUUUGGUAGAAAUGAAGUCAAAAGGAGAUUGAGAACCUUCCAGAUCUUCUGAAGAGACCAUUUCUUUCUGAAGAGUACAAGUAGGAGAGGAUACAAAAGCAACAAUAGCACCAUUUGAAUGAUAUGGGUAAACUUUAAUCAAAAUUGGAUUAUUCAAAUAAGAAUGACUCCUAAGGUCAGAGAUUGUAAACCAAGAAUGAAGAAGUAGAUCUGAGCUCACCAACAAAUUUGCAAAUUCUUGGCCACUACUAAACCUGUAGAACAAAAAAAUGAAAAAUUGGGUCAUGUAAAACAAUACAAUCUUGAACAAUAAAGCAAAAAGAUUUGAACUUUUUGUAGUAUAUGCCAUAAAAGAAUAAA
RNAcentral lists this long non-coding RNA (7008 nucleotides) under Solanum tuberosum (potato). RNAcentral describes it as "long non-coding RNA (STUB_LNC002880)". Lineage: Eukaryota; Viridiplantae; Streptophyta; Magnoliopsida; Solanales; Solanaceae. The record is from RNAcentral.